UCCUACGGGAGGCAGCAGUGGGGAAUCUUGCACAAUGGGCGCAAGCCUGAUGCAGCAACGCCGCGUGCGGGAAGAAGGCCUUAGGGUUGUAAACCGCUUUCAGUAGGGAAGAAAAUGACGGUACCUACAGAAGAAGGUGCGGCCAACUACGUGCCAGCAGCCGCGGUAACACGUAGGCACCAAGCGUUAUCCGGAUUUAUUGGGCGUAAAGAGCUCGUAGGCGGUUCAGUCAGUCGGGUGUGAAAACUUGAGGCUUAACCUCAAGAGGUCACUCGAUACUACUGUGACUAGAGUGCGGUAGGGGAGCGGGGAAUUCCUGGUGUAGCGGUGAAAUGCGCAGAUAUCAGGAGGAACACCAGUGGCGAAGGCGCCGCUCUGGGCCGUAACUGACGCUGAGGAGCGAAAGCAUGGGUAGCAAACAGGAUUAGAUACCCUGGUAGUCCAUGCCGUAAACGUUGGGCACUAGGUGUGGGUCUCAACCAACGAGAUCCGCGCCGUCGCUAACGCAUUAAGUGCCCCGCCUGGGGAGUACGGUCGCAAGACUAAAACUCAAAUGAAUUGACGG
This 565-nucleotide ribosomal RNA is filed under the name uncultured bacterium. Its description in RNAcentral is "bacterial SSU rRNA". It matches the Rfam family "Bacterial small subunit ribosomal RNA", at positions 337 to 916 of the family's 1533-position model. The record is from RNAcentral.